UGGGGAAUUUUGCGCAAUGGGGGAAACCCUGACGCAGCAACGCCGCGUGGGUGAUGAAGGCCUUCGGGUCGUAAAGCUCUGUCUGGAGGGAAGAAAUGAUUGGGAGCUAAUACCUCCUGAUCUUGACGGUACCUCUGAAGGAAGCACCGGCUAACUCCGUG
Molecule: ribosomal RNA, 161 nt
Filed under: uncultured bacterium
Lineage: Bacteria
Description: partial 16S ribosomal RNA
Rfam family: Bacterial small subunit ribosomal RNA
Source: RNAcentral